RNAcentral lists this ribosomal RNA (254 nucleotides) under uncultured bacterium. RNAcentral describes it as "partial 16S ribosomal RNA". It matches the Rfam family "Bacterial small subunit ribosomal RNA", at positions 524 to 776 of the family's 1533-position model. The record is from RNAcentral.
UACGGGGGGAGCAAGCGUUGUUCGGAUUUACUGGGCGUAAAGGGCGCGUAGGCGGCCACCGCAAGUCAAUUGUGAAAUCUCCGGGCUUAACUCGGAAAGGUCAACUGAUACUGCGGGGCUAGAGUGCGGAAGGGGCAACUGGAAUUCUCGGUGUAGCGGUGAAAUGCGUAGAUAUCGAGAGGAACACCUGCGGCGAAGGCGGGUUGCUGGGCCGACACUGACGCUGAUGCGCGAAAGCGUGGGGAGCAAACGGG